AGAUUGAACGCUGGCGGCAUGCCUAACACAUGCAAGUCGAACGGGAGUAGCAAUACUCUAGUGGCGGACGGGUGAGGAAUACGUAGGAAUUUGCCCUUAAGUGGGGGAUAACCCGGGGAAACCCGGAUUAAUACCGCAUGACCUCGAAAGAGCAAAGUGGGGGAUCGCAAGACCUCACGCUUUUGGAGAAGCCUACGUCGGAUUAGCUAGUUGGUGAGGUAAUGGCUCACCAAGGCGACGAUCCGUAACUGGUCUGAGAGGAUGAUCAGUCACACCGGAACUGAGACACGGUCCGGACUCCUACGGGAGCAGCAGUGGGAAUAUUGGACAAGUGGGCGCAAGCCUGAUCCAGCAAUGCCGCGUGUGUGAAGAAGGCCUUCGGUUGUAAAGCUACGUUUAAGGUUAGGGAAAGAAAAACUCGACUACGUAACACAGUGAGUCUUGACGGUACCGACAGAAUAAGACACCGGACUAACUCUAGU
RNAcentral lists this ribosomal RNA (482 nucleotides) under uncultured soil bacterium. Its description in RNAcentral is "bacterial SSU rRNA". It matches the Rfam family "Bacterial small subunit ribosomal RNA", at positions 26 to 507 of the family's 1533-position model. The record is from RNAcentral.